RNAcentral lists this ribosomal RNA (388 nucleotides) under uncultured bacterium. RNAcentral's name for it is "bacterial SSU rRNA". It matches the Rfam family "Bacterial small subunit ribosomal RNA", at positions 28 to 410 of the family's 1533-position model. The record is from RNAcentral.
GACGAACGCUGGCGGCGCGCUUAACACAUGCAAGUCGAGCGAGAACCAGGCCUUCGGGCCUGGGGAAAGCGGCGAACGGGUGAGUAACACGUGGGUAACCCACCCUUGGUACCGGGAUAGCCCGGGGAAACCCGGAUUAAUACCGGAUGGCCCAACAGCUCUUAGGGGCGGUUGGAAAAGGUAGCUUCGGCCUCCGACCAAGGACGGGCCCGCGGCGGAUUAGCUUGUUGGUGGGGUAAUGGCCUACCAAGGCGACGAUCCGUAGCGGUCUGAGAGGACGACCAGCCACACUGGGACUGAGACACGGCCCAGACUCCUACGGGAGGCAGCAGUGGGGAAUCUUGCGCAAUGGGCGAAAGCCUGACGCAGCGACGCCGCGUGGGGGAAG